CCUUACAUCCCACAGGCAACUUAACUCGAGCCCGAUGUGAAAAUGCCCCCGCAUUAAUCACCCCUAGUGAGGAGUCUCGAACAGGAGACCUCCCGAUCUGAUAUCAAUUUGAUGCAGGACAACUAACCAGUUGCUCUAAAAGCUCGAACUGAUGGAGCAUGUCGAAUUAAUCCCUUUAUCUCAUAGCCUAAGCCCCAAAUCCAUGGGUUAGGUCCUCAGCCAAACCCUCCUCGUAAGCUCCAAAUCCAUGGGUUUCGCCCCCUCGUAGGUCCCAAAUCCAUAGGCUCCGCCUUACACGAGUCACCCGUCUCACACGAGCCCCAAAUCCAUGGGUUAUGCGGACCACCCACCCCGAGUGUGCCGCUGCAUCCCACAGGCCACCCCACUUGAGCCCAGUGUGAAAAUGCCCCUACAUUAAUUAGGCACUAUCCGCAUCAAUCAUCCAGACCUUUUAAUUCUCAAACUUCUGAUAUAUGCAUCAGUUGAAAUUUUUUUACCACUUAUCCACUCUCUACCUCAUCAGUUAGGAAGUUUCAGGCAGGCAUUCAAACAGCUUGUUGUUUGCUCCAAUGAUGUGUGCCAAAGUCCGAUGCCGUGGAGCUGUGUCAUGGGACAUGCGACCUUCACAACGGCGGAAAUUAGUAAGUGGCCCACCCAACUCUUGUUUGACAUGCUAAAUUCCACUUCUAGAUGGAUCCUAUUCUAUAAUUUAAUGGGUACCCACUUCCUCUGAUGAUGAGCUUAUCUCUGUUCUUAUGCCUAUCCAGAACCGUUGAAAUUGUGGGUCCUAUUGUCGAUGGAGCAUAUCUCUAAAAUUGCACUGAUCAAAUAAUCCUAACCAUCCAUUGGCUAUCAAAUGGAUGGUUAAAAGUAAAAUAUUGAGUAUCCAAAUUCAAAUGGGAAAAAUCAGAUGGUUCGUACGAUCUUCUCACUGCAAUCUUUUGCUCAUGCUCCAUCCACAGUGGGUUCAGCAGUUUGGAGAGUCUGGAUGGACAACAUGGUUAAAAGAUUUGGUGACUCAACCUGACUCAUUUGGCCAUCAGUCAAGUCGACUCAGCGUGUGUUGGUGUGCGUGCUGUGCUGUGUUUAGGAAAAAAAAAAGUCACUUCACGAGACUGGGCUGUAAAAAAACAAGAUAUUAGGCGUAUCAAUGAACUCCAUCCCAGCCCAUGUUCUCAUUGGUGUAUUUUUGCACAAUGGCGGCUCUUAGCUGUAUCAAUGAAUGAAUGGUUCAGAUCUACAAUAGGUCACCCCAUGUGCCAUUUAAAAGCUUGGGGGACGUUGGACAUUAGGAGAAGCAAGCAAAUGUAGCUUGAGUUGGUAGUUGCUGGUUAGAGAUGUCAGUCCCUCCACUGCAGCUCUCAGGUUGAACCCGCUUAUAGCUUUUUGUAAAGACUUGCUUUUCAAGUGAGUCAACUCAACAAGUCAUGUACAGUCUAGAGCGAGUCAUCCUGAUGCUCGAGUUUCAUAGCGACUCCCCUUGAAAUCUUGCCAAGUUUCAAGCUGACUCACCGAGUUUUAGAACUAUCGAGUCACCCUACUGACAUUAUCAAGAGUUGAUUCAGGGUCACCUUCAACAGCCACAUCUAGAAUUUGGCAUAUUCACGUUUGGAGUUAUGAUCCAAGAACCAAAUGCUUCCCUUCUUGUGUGCAAUAAAAACCCCUUGUGGAAUCUCAGAGUCAUUUCUCUACUUAAACGCCAAGGGCAUGAGGCAAGUCAAACUGGUUUUAGCUUGUUGCCUGUUGGGAGGAUAGUCUCCUACAUUUACUGAGCGGUGCCAUUAUGUAUGGACACAUCAGACUGGCUCUAUCUUCGAACAGAAACGUAACGAUGGAUUGGGUCACAUCAAUGAGCCCAAUGUGGCCAAAAGUACUAGUGUACCAACCUGGCACAUGUCAAUGACUCGUGUGUAUCAUCUCCUUGGCCGCCAAAUUGGCUUUUACAUGGCCCUUCAUUCAUGUAUCAUGUUAGUACUAACUGCCCAAGAUGAUGUAUUUUUGUGAUUGAAGGACUAGAUCUCUUGCAUCGAUGAUGAUCAAUGUAUAGUUUAAAUGUAAAGAGCAUUAAAUGAUAAAUUUUCAGAUUUUAUUGUUUGUGCUUA
Magnolia sinica is the source of this 2102-nucleotide long non-coding RNA. RefSeq lists it as uncharacterized. Lineage: Eukaryota; Viridiplantae; Streptophyta; Magnoliopsida; Magnoliales; Magnoliaceae. The transcript has 2 exons. The record is from RefSeq and is a predicted model, not a curated record.